RNAcentral lists this ribosomal RNA (254 nucleotides) under uncultured bacterium. RNAcentral describes it as "partial 16S ribosomal RNA". It matches the Rfam family "Bacterial small subunit ribosomal RNA", at positions 524 to 776 of the family's 1533-position model. The record is from RNAcentral.
UACGUAGGGAGCAAGCGUUGUCCGGAUUUAUUGGGCGUAAAGGGCUAGUAGGCGGUUCAGCAAGUCGGGUGUGAAAACUCUAGGCUCAACCUGGAGAGGCCACCCGAUACUGCUGUGACUUGAGUCUGGUAGGGGAGCACGGAAUUCCUGGUGUAGCGGUGAAAUGCGUAGAUAUCAGGAAGAACACCGGUGGCGAAAGCGCUCUGCUAGGCCGCAACUGACACUGAGGGACGAAAGCUAGGGGAGCGAAUGGG